RNAcentral lists this long non-coding RNA (531 nucleotides) under Rattus norvegicus (Norway rat). RNAcentral's name for it is "long non-coding RNA NONRATT022764". Lineage: Eukaryota; Metazoa; Chordata; Mammalia; Rodentia; Muridae. The record is from RNAcentral.
GCUCCCAUGAGGCCCAGGGGCAAGAGGUGGGGCCGUCUGGGGAUUUGUCCUUCCUUCUGACCCCAGUGGCUGCCCUCUCCCUCUCUCGGACUAAUGUCCAGCACAGCCCUGCUGAGUGUUCUCCGGAGCAGCCCCGUCCCUCUGUGGGCCUGCCCGUCUAUCAGGCAGUCCUCCGGGAAGCACUGUUUCUCUCCUUUCUUGCUCCUAACCUGUUGGCUUCUGGGCGCGGUGGCAGGGCCCUGGUGGGAGGUGGGGCCACUGGUGAUCCAAGGCAGGUAGGCACUGAGACAGAGUCUCUCCCCCACAGUCCCUGAUUGUCCCUGGAAAGAGUCCCACAAGGAAGAAGUCUGGUCCAUUUGGCUCACGCCGCAGCAGCGCCAUUGGCAUCGAGAACAUCCAGGAGGUGCAGGAGAAGAGGGAGAGCCCUCCAGCUGGCCAGAAGACCCCAGACAGCGGGCAUGUCUCUCAGGAGCCCAAGUCGGAGAACUCAUCUACUCAGAGCUCCCCAGAGAUGCCCACGACCAAGAACAG